RNAcentral lists this ribosomal RNA (312 nucleotides) under Triticum aestivum (bread wheat). RNAcentral describes it as "partial small subunit ribosomal RNA". Lineage: Eukaryota; Viridiplantae; Streptophyta; Magnoliopsida; Poales; Poaceae. The record is from RNAcentral.
AUGGGGGAAGCCUUAGUGGUGGAUCAAGCAGCAAGAGAAGAAGAAAAAGAAGGAGGAGGAGCACAAGCGGUGGAGUUUGGAGCUCAAGAGAAGGAGAUGCAACACCCUCACUACGGCGACAGGGUGGGCAACCCGUUUGCCAAGAAGCCAAAGCACAAGCCGGCGGUGCGGCUGGAAAUGGCGCUGCCAUCGAUAGUGCUACCCUCCUUCAUCCUUCAAAGGCAUGACGGACGCCCCAACCCCAGUGGAAGAUGUGGAUGGGCCGGAAUGCUUUCGUUGUGGUCGCCUGGGUCACUUCCAGCCGCAGCGUGA